UGGAAGUUUACAAAUUCUCUACCCAAGACUGGUAUCACAGUACUCACGAAAUUUUAAGAGUUACUAAAUACAACCUUCUGAAAGAAAUCUCAACAGUCUGUUUCAAUAUAAAACUAACAAACUGAAUAAUGAUAGAAGAGACUCCGGGCUUGCGGACGUUAGCGAGGCUACCUCAAGAGUCCUGGACAGAAGGUCUGCACCCGAUCUAGUACUACUGCGGUCCGAAAUCUGUUUCCUGAUCUGUGCAAAAGAAAUGCACAGAGUAUAGCAUCAGCACAACCGACCCCAUGUGCUGGUAAGUGCCUGGCCUAACCGCGACGAGGUAGUGACGAGGCUUGACAUGACCUACCACAAAUAACCUGUACAGAUAUAUGUGCAAUAACAGGAAAUAUACCAAUGUAAACAAUUAAAGUAAGGGGAAACAUGAUGUGGGGUACGCCAGUCUAAACAUAGAAAUUCAUUGGUAAACAAAUGGAACAGAACAAUAACAACUGAUAAGAAAACACAGGAAAUCUCUACAUAUGAAAACAAUACACUCAGACCAUACUUCAUUGCGGCGCGCAACUCGAUCCUCAAAUAUGUCCGUUGCGAGAGCUACCCGAUCCUAAAAUAUAUAUCUAUUACAACGAGAAACCCGAUCCUCAACAUUUAAUACCGUUGCGGCGUGCAACCCGAUCUUCAACAAUCAAUACCGUUGCGACGUGCAACCCGAUCCUGAUAAUUAACAAUAUGAACUCAGCCAAAAAACAAUCGCAUCUCAAGUGCAAGAGGGAGAAACAACAAUACACAGAGGAGUCCCGGUGAGGGAACACGAUUAACAGCUCAAACGUCCCGGCAAGGGAGAAAAUAAUAAAUACUUAAAUCCCGACAAGGGAAUAAUCACAACAAUUCCUUUUUAACUAUUUACUCCUCGAACAACAAUUUCUAGUCUGAGCGAAUGCUCCAGGUGACAAACUAAUCACAAACUUUCCUCAAUUAUUCACUUUUCAUAUUAUACUUAUCAACCAAGCAAGAAUUGUAUCAUUAAGUUCGAAUCCAACACAUAUAUAAGACCCAUGGUCAUGCUAAACUCCGGUGCAUAGGUAACUAUAACCAUACCUAUACACCAUACUCCAUAAUUAGCAAGUACCAAAUAAUAUCCUAAUCCUAAUCCCUCAAGCCAAAGUUAGAACAAACACUUACCUCGAAAGCUCCAAACUUAACUCACGCCUCUAGAAUAGCUUUAUCCCUCGAAUUCGCCACAGAAUCGCUCGAAUAUAGUCACAAAUUACUCAAAUGUAUCAACAAAUUCUAGUUAAAUCAAUUUGAAUGCAUAAGAAUGAAUUUCCUAAAGUUUUACCCAAAAAUUCCCAAAAUUCCCCCGGGCCCACGUUGUCAAAACCCGAGGUUCGAACAAAAACCGGGUUAUUCAUUCCCCCACGAGUUCAUAGCUAUGUUCUUUUUUGAAAUCGGACUUCAAAUAGAGGUCCAAAUCCCCAAUUUAGCGAAAACCUAAGUUCUACACAAAAUCUCCAUUUUUACCCAUGGAAAACCUUGAUUUUAAGAUGAAAACAUGAUAAAAUAUGUUAAAGAUUGAAGAAAUUGAGUAAGAGCUGACUUAUAAAUGAUUUGGGAAGGACGGAGUUUGUGAGAAAUCUCCAAUGGGUAUUUGGGUUUUGAAAAUAUGAAAAAUGAGCUUUAAAAUCGUCUAAGUAUGAAAUGUGCAGGUGCCUGUAUCGCAAUUGUGAAGUUCGCAAUCGCGAACCCAGUAGACUUGGGAAUUGCAAGAUAAUUGCUCGCAUUUGCAAACUCAUGCAAGAAAGGUAGACUUCGCAUUUGCGAAGAGGGUGUUCGCAUUUGCGAACUCAGUGCCUAAGGUUGAGGGAUCGCACUUACGAUGAAGUCUUCGCAGUUACGAAGACUAGGAUUAAGGGAGGGCAUCACAUUUGUGAUGUUUUUCUUCGCAUUUGCGAUGUUUUUAUUUGCAUUUGCGAAGUUAACAGUCCAGGGGGAAUUUCGCAUUUGCGAGUACUGGCUUCGCAUUUGCGAAGCCUGCAGAACUGAAGCACCAGAUUUUUCAACAAUGAUAAAUGCAAUUCGAUGCCUAUCCAAAACUCUCCCGAGCCCUCGAGGCUCCAAACCUAUUAUGCACACAACUUCAAAAACAUCCAACGGACUUAGUCGCGCGAUCAAAUGUCCAAAAUAAUAUCAUAAACAUAGAAUCAAACCUCAAAACUCAUUAUUUUUUUCUAAGUUUCAUAAACUUUCAAACUUGGAACUCAUAGUCAAAAACACGUCAUACGACAUAUGUUUUUAACCAAACUUCACAGAAAGCACUUAACACUCAUUUAAGACAUGUACCCGGAACCAAAUACGAACCCGAUAUCUAUAUUUUCUAACUUAUUUUCAUUUCAAGUUUUCCAUAUCAUUUCCAAGUAAAUAAUUUCUUUAAAUAAAUUUCAUACUCGGGCUUGGGACCUCGGGUUUCGAGUCCGAUAUUAUCCUACGAACCUCCCAGGACCGUCACAUCACGGGUCCGGGUUCGUUUACCCAAAACGUUGACCAAAGUCAACUAUAUCAAUAUUAAUAUAAAAAUUCUUUAAAUUUUCCACAUAAUUCACAUAUUUUAACAUAAACAAUUUCCUGUUUUAUGCCUCACCUGCACACGUAAAUCGAGGCAACUAAAAUGAGGUUUUCAAGUCCUCAGAAGCAUGGGAAAAUGGUGAAUUACGGUGAUAACCCUUUGGGUCGUCACUCAAGCAGGCUCGAAAAUGUGUACAUGGGAAUCAAUUUACAACAGAUGAAUAAGGAGGUCAGCAGCAAUUAACAAAUGUAACAGCAGAUCAACGAUCACCAGCAACAAAUAGGGCCAAACUUAUGGCUAAACCAAAGUCAAAAUGCCCAGGAAGAAAGAGAAUCGACCAAAACCACACUGAACUUAUCAGAAAUUGGACUAGGAAAGUUACAAAUCACUUUAGACCACCAGAACUAACCAGCAACAACUCGAACACAUUCAAAUAAACUCAAAACUGAAAUCAAAUGAUCCAGCACACUUUCAGCAACUAGAAAUGUCCCACCACGACUUGAAUAAAUCCCUAAACUGCUCUAGAUGGCUAUGAAUUUGAAAAUCACCUAAGGAAGGCAAUGAAACAGUAAUUUGUUUUUGAUUUUUCCUGUUUUUUGUUGUUUUUGGAUUUUGAAUGUUUAAAUUACAAGUUUAGAUCUGAAAAGCAGAGCAGAGCUUUUUUUUAGGGAAUAUUAGGGCUUCUCAACUUCUUAGAGAAGGAAAGUAAGUUGCCUUUUAUAGGCACGCAUGAAAGACUCAAUCAGAUUUUCUGUUUUCUCUUUUAGUCCCUCUCAUUUUCAGUUUUAGUCCUUCAUUUAUUAACUUGUUACACAAGCUAGUGCCCUAAAUUAACUAAAACACACUAAAGUACUAUUCUAGAAGGCCCUAGGGUGUUCUUCUACCCAUACAAAUACCUAUACUAUCCUUGCCUUUGUUUUGAAAUUACUAUUCCUGAUAAAAAUCAGCCAUUUUCCAUGCCCAAACUACCCCUGAAAAUCUCUUGAAAUUACCAACACUAAUUAAACUUCUAACAUCUAUAACCAAUCACCUAAACUAACUAAAACUAAUUAAUGGAAAUUGAAACUCAAGCCUUAAUGAACACUAGUAUCCUAUAAUCCCAACAGCACAUUAACCAUUAUCUAAUAAGGAAAAAUGGAAACUAGAAUAGAAAUCACAUCAAUGGCACCCAAUUACAUGUCGAAGUCAGAAACAUGAAGGUAUGAAUCAACAGAAUCGAAAUUAGAGACAGGAAAACUGGAAAGAAAUGAAAAUCAAAUUAAACUAAUUCACUCAAUAACUUAAAAUCAAGAAACUAACCACUGAAUCAAAAGAACUGGAAUCAGAAAUUAGGCGACGAAGUGAAAAACUAGAAAUCAAAACAUAGGAGAACAAAAUUAUAAUAAAAAUAAAUAUAGAAUCAAACGAGAUGAAAGAACAAACUGAUUUCUGGGAGUUGAACUGACUUGAACUUGAAUUGGGCUCCCAAAUAACAUUAUACGUUUGUUUUGGUGAGAACAACCGUAUGAGGUUAUUAGGAACUCAAAUCGACCCUGGACACCCUCAUUUUAAAAAACCCUAAAUUAACGAUUCAAUGGGUUCCAGUGGUGUUUGAUGACAACCAAGUGGAGAUUUAGUAUGAGUAAGGGAAGGUGAUUGUGUGGUGUAAAUUUGGGCCGGUUUGGGCGAGUUUGCGCCUUGGCCAGAAAAUUUAGAUUCAAGAUUCGCGGGCCUGGGAUGGGAUUGGAGAAAAGAUAAUAUGGGGGUUAGAAAGAGGAGAGAAAGAUGGUUCUAGGCUGUAAAUUUCAAGGGAUUUGGAGGUGGGCUGCCGGUGGCAACGAUUCCCGGCCGUCAGCGUACGGUGGGAGAUGAAGGGGUGAAGGUGGCGUUAUGCCGGCGUUACAGGGAGGGGUUGUACGAGGAUGAUGUGUUUUUUUAGUGUUAGAGGGGAUUUUCGGAUAGUUUUAAUUAAGAAAGGGGAUUGAUUGUGAGCUGUUGAAUGAAUGAGAAUGAAGGGCCGUGAUUGAUCGACGCAAAAACGGCAUCGUUUGGGGGACUGUUGAGCUGAACUGUGUCAUGGGUUGUCGUGAACUGGGUGAUUGUAUUUGGGUGGAAGCUGGCAUUAAUUAAACAAAGAGCCCAAUUCGUGGGUCUCUUAUC
Molecule: long non-coding RNA, 4702 nt
Filed under: Nicotiana benthamiana
Lineage: Eukaryota; Viridiplantae; Streptophyta; Magnoliopsida; Solanales; Solanaceae
Description: long non-coding RNA (NBEN_LNC026613)
Source: RNAcentral